GAUGAAGAACGCAGUGAAAUGCGAUAAGUAGUGUGAAUUGCAGAAUUCAGUGAAUCAUCGAAUCUUUGAACGCACAAUGCGCCUCCUGGUAUUCCGGGAGGCAUGCCUGUUCGAGCGUCAUUAAAAUCACUCAAGCUUAGGUUUACCUAUUGCUUGGUCUUGGAGAUGGAAGCCAAUUUAUUGGAAUCCUCUUCGAAAUUCAAUGGCGAAGACCCUUGCUCUCCCAAGUGUAGUAAUAACUUAUGUCACUGAAGGAAGCGAGAAAUCUUCUGCCGUAACCCCCAUAUUUUCUAUGAUUGACCUCGGAUCAGGUAGGGAUACCCGCUGAACUUAAGCAUAUCAAUAAGCGGAGGA
Molecule: unclassified non-coding RNA, 354 nt
Filed under: soil metagenome
Description: partial contains 5.8S ribosomal RNA, internal transcribed spacer 2, and large subunit ribosomal RNA
Rfam family: 5.8S ribosomal RNA (bases 1-120)
Source: RNAcentral